RNAcentral lists this long non-coding RNA (400 nucleotides) under Heterocephalus glaber (naked mole-rat). RNAcentral describes it as "lncRNA (ENSHGLG00000042084.1)". The record is from RNAcentral. Lineage: Eukaryota; Metazoa; Chordata; Mammalia; Rodentia; Bathyergidae.
CUGUGUUCUCCACACCGUUUCCCUUCCUUGCCAAGCUGGAAGUCGCCUGGAGGGGGAAGAUGAUGAGGGUGAGGGACGGAGCAGAAGGCCACGUGCUGCCUCGCUGACUGGGUCUUAACGGCGAAGCCUGGUAACACGGGCUGCUUUGCUGUGAACCUUUUCAAAAAUUAUCCCAACUCCCUGGCAAGGCACAGACCUGGGAUCUCACCAGCCCAAACUGCAGUCUUUUCCAGAAGUUUUGAGGUGUGUACGGUGCCACUAGGGAUCGAACUUGGGACCUUGCCUUUGUGAGACAGGUGGUAGAACCACUGAGCUAAAUGCCUGGCCCAAGAAAGCAUUGACUUAUAAAGAGAAGAGCUUACUCCCUUCUGAUGCUCUGGUCCCAUAUCGGGAGGCCCAG